RNAcentral lists this ribosomal RNA (252 nucleotides) under Triticum aestivum (bread wheat). RNAcentral's name for it is "partial small subunit ribosomal RNA". Lineage: Eukaryota; Viridiplantae; Streptophyta; Magnoliopsida; Poales; Poaceae. The record is from RNAcentral.
AUGGAUGUGUCUUUUUUUGUAGUGAGAGCUCCCUCACUGAGCGAGCAUUCGGCAUUCCUAGUAUGCUCCACUCAUUCUACGCCAAGCACCCAAUCACGGGAUCAGAAUCACACUCUACAUCAUACCUUUUACAAAAGAAAAGGAUAGGCAGCCGCUGCUAAACCAAGAUGUCCAUCUCUUGACUCCGUCAAUCAAUCUUACCUUAUAGGGCACAAAGGUAUAUUUACCAUACGAGAUGUGUGCACCUACUAA